RNAcentral lists this transfer RNA (82 nucleotides) under Deltaproteobacteria bacterium. RNAcentral's name for it is "tRNA-Leu". It matches the Rfam family "tRNA". From Rfam's summary of the family: Transfer RNA (tRNA) molecules are approximately 80 nucleotides in length. Their secondary structure includes four short double-helical elements and three loops (D, anti-codon, and T loops). The record is from RNAcentral. Lineage: Bacteria; Pseudomonadati; Myxococcota; Myxococcia.
GCGGGAAUGGUGGAAUUGGCAGACACGCUAGACUUAGGAUCUAGUGCCUUUUGGCAUGGGGGUUCAACUCCCCCUUUCCGCA